This 416-nucleotide unclassified non-coding RNA is filed under the name Orlaya grandiflora. Its description in RNAcentral is "partial external transcribed spacer". The record is from RNAcentral. Lineage: Eukaryota; Viridiplantae; Streptophyta; Magnoliopsida; Apiales; Apiaceae.
UGUCCCGGUUGGUUGGAUCCCUGUCAAGGCAGCGACAACCACUUGUUCAUACAUGUUCAUUUCUGUCCGAGAGCUAAGAAUUGAGCCUUCGGUGUGCAUGGUCCCCUGUACAACUACCUAGUUUGAAGGAAUUUUGGAGUCCCACGGUCCCUUAUUUGUCUCGCGCUUCUUAUGUUGUGCGAGAUAAACAAAGAAACUAACAUGGAUCUUUGCCCUUUCAUUUCCUUUCGGUCUUGAGAGCAUCGGAUGUCCAUGUGUUGCCAGAAAUCUUGUAUGCGGAAUCGUUGAUCGGUUUGGGUGUUGGCCCAUACUUUUCCGUAUUAAAUGUCCCUCACGAAAGUUCGUUGUGCCUUGUGUUGACUCUAGGAUGCUAAUGCAUCUAGAACUCAUGCUAGGCCUUCGGCAAGAAGGAAUGC